RNAcentral lists this ribosomal RNA (253 nucleotides) under uncultured bacterium. RNAcentral's name for it is "partial 16S ribosomal RNA". It matches the Rfam family "Bacterial small subunit ribosomal RNA", at positions 524 to 776 of the family's 1533-position model. The record is from RNAcentral.
UACGAAGGGGGCGAGCGUUAUUCGGAAUCACUGGGCGUAAAGCGUGCGUAGGCUGCUCGGAAAGUUGGGAGUGAAAGCCCAGGGCUCAACCCUGGAAUUGCUCUCAAAACUACCGAGCUCGGAUUCGGGAGAGGAUAGCGGAAUUGUCAGUGUAGCAGUGAAAUGCGUAGAUAUUGACAGGAACACCAGUGGCGCAAGCGGCUAUCUGGACCGACAUCGACGCUGAGGCACGAAAGCGUGGGGAUCAAACAGG